UUGCCCCCAGUCCCUCCCAGUCCCUCCCAGUUGCCCCCAGUCUCUCCCAGUCCCUCCCAGUCCCUCCCAGUUGCCCCCAGUUGCCCCCAGUCCCCCCGGGUCACUGCAGUUCACAGCGCUCCCAGUUUGCCCUCACGCUGUUACUGGGCGGACUGGGACGGGCGGUGCUGACUCAGCCCUCCCACAGCCGCUAAUUACCCUUAAUUACGCGAUUCUAAUUAAGCCGGGGCCGCCCCACCCUGAGGCAGACAGGGGGUUAAUUGGGGGAGGGGUCAAUUAAGGGGGAGAGAGGUGAUUAAUUGGUAGGAGGGGGGGCUGGGGUUAAUUGGGGGGCAGAGAUUAAUUAAGAGGCACAAAGAUUAAUUAAAGGUGAGAGAUAUAAUUAAUUGGGGGGCUGAGGUUAACUGGGGGCUGAGAUUAAUUAAGGAAGAGAGAGGUAAUCAGCUGGGGGGCUAAGACUAAUUGGGGGAACAGGGAUUAAUUAACAGGCAGAGAUGAUUUAUUUCACGUAAGACAUUAAUUAAAGGGGAGAGAGGUGAUUAAUUUGGGGGGGCUGAGCUUAAUUGGGGGUGGGAGAUUAAUUAGAGGGGAAUGGAAUUAAUUCUACCCCAUAGAUUCAACCUUUCCUGUCCACCCACUUCGUUUGCAUAACCCCGCCCCCUUCCGGGAUAAUUUGCAUGGCCACACCUUCUCACCGUAAAGCUUUAUUCAAUUGGCUGCUCCGCGCUGCUCAUUUACAUAGCCACGCCCCCCCGAGGCUCCGCCCACCCUCCAUCUGCCCCCUUCAAUUGCCCCCAUUGACUCCUAAUUGCCCCCAUUGCCCCUACUGACCCCUAAUUGCCCCUCACUACCCCUCAGUUGCCCCCAUUGACUCC
This 875-nucleotide long non-coding RNA is filed under the name Phasianus colchicus (ring-necked pheasant). RNAcentral's name for it is "lncRNA (ENSPCLG00000013870.1)". The record is from RNAcentral. Lineage: Eukaryota; Metazoa; Chordata; Aves; Galliformes; Phasianidae.